Molecule: long non-coding RNA, 888 nt
Organism: Brassica napus (rape)
Lineage: Eukaryota; Viridiplantae; Streptophyta; Magnoliopsida; Brassicales; Brassicaceae
Exons: 3
Source: RefSeq, a predicted model, not a curated record
GCAAUAACAUAGGGGCAUUUUGCGCAACUGUCACGUAAAAAAGCGACUUUACUAACUUUUAAUUUCCAAGAUAAUACUGAAAAAUAUUAUGGGCUAAUACCAGAUUUUUUUGUUCAGGCCUAUUUGUUUGUCCUUCAAGCACAUAAUGACGCUUUUAAUCCUAGCCGCUUCCGAUCAGAUUCCUGUAACGCCUUCUCUUUCCCAUUAAUUUUCUCCUUUAAACAGAGUCGGACCAUAAACAUCUUCAUCCCAUUCGCUGCAAUGCAUCAUUAAUUCGAGCUCAGACUCUUCGUUACCUAACCGGCGAAAGGGUCUCUUCAUACGCUUAGACAAAUUUCAUGAUUUUUUUGGUGAUAUAUAUUUUUUUCAGAUUUGGUUUCGUCGAGUCGCGACUUGGGUUCGUGCUUUCAGUCCGAAGAAAGAACAAGAGCUGAUCGGCAGCGUUUAUUCAGGAACCAUAUCAUACAAUGCUCGUUUCAUGUUUCCUGGCAAGAACUACUAGAUUCUCUUUCUCAGAAGCGACUAUUUUUCUUCAGGGAUAUCAGCUUCUGCAUCGAAUGGAUCCUUUUAUUAAUCAGGUGUUGGCUGAAGAACACUUCUGUAGUGAAUGUGCAAACUAUACAACGGCAUCACUUAAUUAAAAGGAUGUAGGAAUACCAAAGGCAAGUUGACCGAGAAAUAUGAACUCAACUGAUUUUUUAGCAGGGGAUGGCAUGAGAAUACCUUUUGUACUGAAGCGUACUCAUAUCUUUAUACUGUUUUUGGCUUACUCAUAUUUUAUACUGUUUUGUCUUAUAGAAUACAUUAUCUUAAAGAAAAAUAAAUGAAACAUUGUCGUUUGUGGUUUGUAACACUGAAACAAUUUAUCAUAUAUCAUUAUUUAAGAUA